Molecule: ribosomal RNA, 253 nt
Filed under: uncultured bacterium
Lineage: Bacteria
Description: partial 16S ribosomal RNA
Rfam family: Bacterial small subunit ribosomal RNA
Source: RNAcentral
UACGGAGGGAGCUAGCGUUGUUCGGAAUUAUUGGGCGUAAAGCGCGCGCAGGCGGUUUCUUAAGUCUGAUGUGAAAGCCCACGGCUCAACCGUGGAGGGUCAUUGGAAACUGGGGAACUUGAGUGCAGAAGAGAAAAGCGGAAUUCCACGUGUAGCGGUGAAAUGCGUAGAGAUGUGGAGGAACACCAGUGGCGAAGGCGGCUUUUUGGUCUGUAACUGACGCUGAGGCGCGAAAGCGUGGGGAGCAAACAGG